Long non-coding RNA from Juglans microcarpa x Juglans regia, 256 nucleotides. RefSeq lists it as uncharacterized. NCBI's taxonomy places the organism in Eukaryota, Viridiplantae, Streptophyta, Magnoliopsida, Fagales, Juglandaceae. The record is from RefSeq and is a predicted model, not a curated record. The transcript is spliced from 3 exons.
UGACCCAGCCGUGAACCCGUAGCCUUCGAUAGCCAUCCCGCAGCCUCUGUUUUUCACUCCCGAAACAAAGGAUGGUUCUCCUCCUACCGUGAGCCAUUGCAACCUUUAACCACCGUGAGCUUCUUCACGUUGCAGCUCCAGAAACCGCCGGCGAAGUUUUCCAUCACCCCAGUGCAUAGCCACCGAGUGCACCACCUCCCGUCGCACUUCACCAUCUUGGUGACGAUUAAUAUUUGUUCGGUAUUUUUGAGGAAAG